RNAcentral lists this transfer RNA (65 nucleotides) under Hypselodoris bullockii. RNAcentral's name for it is "tRNA-Ile". The record is from RNAcentral. Lineage: Eukaryota; Metazoa; Mollusca; Gastropoda; Nudibranchia; Chromodorididae.
GGGUAGGCGCCGGAUGAACGGAUAUCAUUGAUGUUGAUAAGCAUAAAAUUUUAUUUUCCUACCUU